RNAcentral lists this transfer RNA (73 nucleotides) under archaeon CG2_30_31_98. RNAcentral describes it as "tRNA-Thr". It matches the Rfam family "tRNA". From Rfam's summary of the family: Transfer RNA (tRNA) molecules are approximately 80 nucleotides in length. The record is from RNAcentral. RNAcentral also lists the same sequence under 2 other names.
GCCCUAGUAGCUCAGUUGGUAGAGCGACUGUUUCGUAAACAGUAGGUCGGGAGUUCAACUCUUCCCUAGGGCU